AGAGUUUGAUCAUGGCUCAGAACGAACGCUGGCGGCGUGCCUAACACAUGCAAGUCGAACGCGAACGUCUUCUUCGGAGGACAAGUAGAGUGGCGCACGGGUGAGUAACGCGUAAGUAAUCUGUCCUGGCAUCUGGGAUAACCUAUCGAAAGGUGAGCUAAUACCGGAUACGUCCUGGGGGAGAAAGACCGCCUCUGAUAUAAGCGGUUGUGCGAGGAGGAGCUUGCGUACCAUUAGCUGGUUGGUGGGGUAAUGGCCUACCAAGGCGACGAUGGUUAGCGGGUCUGAGAGGAUGAUCCGCCACACUGGAACUGAAACACGGACCAGACUCCUACGGGAGGCAGCAGUGAGGAAUAUUGCGCAAUGGGGGCAACCCUGACGCAGCGACGCCGCGUGGAUGAUGAAGGCCUUCGGGUUGUAAAAUCCUGUCAGAUGGGAAGAAGUGUACGAUGGUUAAGAGCUGUCGUAUUUGACGGUACCAUCAAAGGAAGCACCGGCUAACUCCGUGCCAGCAGCCGCGGUAAUACGGAGGGUGCGAGCGUUGUUCGGAUUUACUGGGCGUAAAGCGCGCGUAGGUGGUGUGAUCAGUCAGCUGUGAAAGCCCAUG
RNAcentral lists this ribosomal RNA (607 nucleotides) under uncultured bacterium. RNAcentral's name for it is "bacterial SSU rRNA". It matches the Rfam family "Bacterial small subunit ribosomal RNA", at positions 8 to 606 of the family's 1533-position model. The record is from RNAcentral.